GAUGAACGCUGGCGGCGUGCUUAACACAUGCAAGUCGAACGGGAAACCUUUUAUUGAAGCUUCGGCAGAUUUAGCUGGUUUCUAGUGGCGGACGGGUGAGUAACGCGUGGGUAACCUGCCCUAUACAGGGGGAUAACAACCAGAAAUGGUUGCUAAUACCGCAUAAGCGCACAGGGCCGCAUGGUCCGGUGUGAAAAACUCCGGUGGUAUAGGAUGGACCCGCGUUGGAUUAGCCAGUUGGCAGGGUAACGGCCUACCAAAGCGACGAUCCAUAGCCGGCCUGAGAGGGUGAACGGCCACAUUGGGACUGAGACACGGCCCAGACUCCUACGGGAGGCAGCAGUGGGGAAUAUUGCACAAUGGGGGAAACCCUGAUGCAGCGACUCCGCGUGAAGGAAGAAGUAUCUCGGUAUGUAAACUUCUAUCAGCAGGGAAGAUAGUGACGGUACCUGACUAAGAAGCCCCGGCUAACUACGUG
RNAcentral lists this ribosomal RNA (478 nucleotides) under uncultured bacterium. RNAcentral describes it as "partial 16S ribosomal RNA". It matches the Rfam family "Bacterial small subunit ribosomal RNA", at positions 28 to 507 of the family's 1533-position model. The record is from RNAcentral.